Candidatus Wildermuthbacteria bacterium is the source of this 83-nucleotide non-coding RNA. Lineage: Bacteria; Candidatus Wildermuthiibacteriota. The record is from Rfam.
GCCUGGGUGCUGGAACGGUAUACAGUCUGGUCUCAAAAACCAGUGGGAGCAAUCCCAUGAGGGUUCGAUUCCCUCCCCAGGCA